Molecule: ribosomal RNA, 253 nt
Filed under: uncultured bacterium
Lineage: Bacteria
Description: partial 16S ribosomal RNA
Rfam family: Bacterial small subunit ribosomal RNA
Source: RNAcentral
UACGUAGGGUGCGAGCGUUAAUCGGAAUUACUGGGCGUAAAGCGUGCGCAGGCGGUUCGUUAAGUUCGAUGUGAAAGCCCCGGGCUCAACCUGGGAACUGCAUUGGAAACUGGCGAGCUUGAGUAUGGCAGAGGGGGGUGGAAUUCCGCGUGUAGCAGUGAAAUGCGUAGAGAUGUGGAGGAACACCGAUGGCGAAGGCAGCCCCCUGGGUCGACACUGACGCUCAUGCACGAAAGCGUGGGGAGCAAACAGG